RNAcentral lists this ribosomal RNA (253 nucleotides) under uncultured bacterium. Its description in RNAcentral is "partial 16S ribosomal RNA". It matches the Rfam family "Bacterial small subunit ribosomal RNA", at positions 524 to 776 of the family's 1533-position model. The record is from RNAcentral.
UACAGAGGGUGCGAGCGUUAAUCGGAUUUACUGGGCGUAAAGCGUGCGUAGGCGGUUAUUUAAGUCGGGUGUGAAAGCCCCGGGCCCAACCUGGGAAUUGCAUUCGAGACUGAAUAGCUAGGGUACGGUAGAGGGAAGUGGAAUUUCCGGUGUAGCGGUGAAAUGCGUAGAUAUCGGAAGGAACAUCAGUGGCGAAAGCGACUUCCUGGACCAGUACCGACGUUCAGGCACGAAAGCGUGGGGAGCAAACAGG